AGUCACUAAUAAAAGCCACAACACGCAGCCACUAGCACCCACCAUCACAUCCGGUUUAAGGAAACAGAGUGAGCCCAUCCUUGCAGAGGGAGGUUUCUCAUGCCUUCAGCGUCCACCCCCCACUCAUCAUUCCCUACAAACAGCAAGUGCAAGGUGUGGGAGCCCAGUGCUUUAACAGCAAUCAUUCCAGGGCACGCUCCAUGAUAAAGCGUGUUUUUGGAAUGAUGAAGACGAGAUUCAGGGCCAUCAUCCUGCUGGAGUGCUGGUGACUUUGUGGCCCUAGAGGAUGAUGCAGCAGGGGAUGAGGGGGAGGCUGGUUUGGAGGCAGUCACUGGUGCUCUUUGGCAGGACCAGCUGUCUCCUGGGGUGUCUGCCUUGGAGGAUGUACCACCAGAUCAUGACUACUGUUA
This is a long non-coding RNA of Oreochromis aureus, 410 nucleotides long. RefSeq lists it as uncharacterized. The transcript is spliced from 3 exons. The record is from RefSeq and is a predicted model, not a curated record. Lineage: Eukaryota; Metazoa; Chordata; Actinopteri; Cichliformes; Cichlidae.